CGCUCACAGAAUUAGCAUCAAUGCUGUUUCUGCUUCUGAAAAAUUUGCUGAUGUUUGGGAGAAGGUGUGAUAGCAGGAGGGCUCAGUGCUGAUCUGAAACCUCAAGUUACAGAAGCCCAGUGGGAAGAGGGAAAGAAUUAAAUGGAUGCUGUUAUUUCUGUUGUCAGAAAGACCUCUACACUCUGUGAAUCUCUAAUGAACAAGGCCUUGCUCCAUUCAUUGCCUUAGGAAACAGUCCUGCUGGCUUCAGAAACAUCAAAAUAAGCUUCUGUUUUUUCCAGCUUUACAUAUUACAUUGCUGAAGCAUUUGAUGAAUGGGAUGCUGUGCAGCUGAAAGAUCCCACGUCUCCAGUGGCUCACUUGGCGUUCUCAGACUGACUGACUGGCAGAGUUGCAGCUCUCUGACAAGGGGAAUGCCUGCUUUUCUCUCAGAAGAGCAACUUUUAAGUGCACCAUAAAGGCAAGAUAUU
Molecule: non-coding RNA, 470 nt
Organism: Lonchura striata (white-rumped munia)
Lineage: Eukaryota; Metazoa; Chordata; Aves; Passeriformes; Estrildidae
Source: RefSeq, a predicted model, not a curated record